Molecule: ribosomal RNA, 346 nt
Filed under: uncultured eukaryote
Lineage: Eukaryota
Description: SSU rRNA
Rfam family: Eukaryotic small subunit ribosomal RNA
Source: RNAcentral
AUAGCGUAUAUUAAAGUUGUUGCAGUUAAAAAGCUCGUAGUUGAACCUUGGGCCUGGCUGGCCGGUCCGCCUCACCGCGUGCACUGGUCCGGCCGGGCCUUUCCUCCUGGGGAACCGCAUGCCCUUCACUGGGUGUGCUGGGGAACCAGGACUUUUACUGUGAAAAAAUUAGAGUGUUCAAAGCAGGCCUAUGCUCGAAUACAUUAGCAUGGAAUAAUAGAAUAGGACGUGUGGUUCUAUUUUGUUGGUUUCUAGGGCCGCCGUAAUGAUUAAUAGGGAUAGUCGGGGGCAUCAGUAUUCAAUUGUCAGAGGUGAAAUUCUUGGAUUUAUUGAAGACUAACUACUG